CGAGACAUGUGAGACCCAUUAGGGACCUGGCACCUGCUAGGUUGAAGGGGUGGGGGGGCAAUAUUAGUCCGCAUCGGCUGUCGCUCUCGGGGGCCAAUGCACAGAGCUAGAUCUUCCCAAUAGCAAGGGACCCUGGAAGGGACCUGGAUACCCUCAAGGAACCCCACACAGACAAGCAGGCCCAGCAGCCUCACGUAUAAAACAUUGGACGAACACCCGGGCCGAAACCCCCUUCCUCCACGGGGAAUUCAGGGUGGGGUAACAGACCCCCCCUUACUCGAAAGGCAGCAAAUAAGAUCUGUGACGUG
Non-coding RNA from Pelobates cultripes (western spadefoot toad), 308 nucleotides. NCBI's taxonomy places the organism in Eukaryota, Metazoa, Chordata, Amphibia, Anura, Pelobatidae. The record is from the annotation of a GenBank genome assembly.